AUUGAACGCUGGCGGCAGGCCUAACACAUGCAAGUCGAACGAGAGGCGGACGGGUGAGUAAUGUCUGGGAAACUGCCUGGCGGAGGGGGAUAACUCCUGGAAACAGUAGCUAAUACCGCUAACCAUCAGAUGUGCCCCGAUGGGCUUAGCUUGUUGGUGGGGUAACGGCUCACCAAGGCGACGCUCCCUAGCUGGUCUGAGAGGAUGACCAGCCAGACUGGAACUGAGACACGGUCCAGACUCCUACGGGAGGCAGCAGUGGGGAAUAUUGCACAAUGGGCGCAAGCCGUAUGCAGCCAUGCCGCGUGUAUGAAGAAGGCUUUCGGGUUGUAAAGUACUUUCAGCGGGGAGGCGUUAUCCGCAGAAGAAGCACCGGCUAACUCCGUGCCAGCAGCCGCGGUAAUUC
RNAcentral lists this ribosomal RNA (406 nucleotides) under uncultured bacterium. RNAcentral describes it as "partial 16S ribosomal RNA". It matches the Rfam family "Bacterial small subunit ribosomal RNA", at positions 30 to 526 of the family's 1533-position model. The record is from RNAcentral.